This 436-nucleotide ribosomal RNA is filed under the name uncultured bacterium. Its description in RNAcentral is "bacterial SSU rRNA". It matches the Rfam family "Bacterial small subunit ribosomal RNA", at positions 355 to 796 of the family's 1533-position model. The record is from RNAcentral.
UCGAGAAUCUUCGGCAAUGGGCGCAAGCCUGACCGAGCGACGCCGCGUGGAGGACGAAGGCCUUCGGGUUGUAAACUCCUGUCGAGGGGGAAGAAGGUCCGCAAGGGCUUGACUGAUCCCUGGAGGAAGCACGGGCUAAGUUCGUGCCAGCAGCCGCGGUAAGACGAACCGUGCGAACGUUAUUCGGAAUCACUGGGCUUAAAGCGCGUGUAGGUGGGGCGGCACGUCGGCCGCUGAAAUCCCCCGGCUUAACCGGGGAACGGGCGCCGAUACGACCGCCCUUGAGGGGCGUAGGGGGGGCUGGAACUUCCGGUGGAGCGGUGAAAUGCGUUGAGAUCGGAAGGAACGCCCGUGGCGAAAGCGAGCCCCUGGACGUCAUCUGACACUGAGACGCGAAAGCCAGGGGAGCGAACGGGAUUAGAUACCCCUGUAGUCC